Molecule: regulatory RNA element, 108 nt
Organism: Planococcus rifietoensis
Lineage: Bacteria; Bacillati; Bacillota; Bacilli; Caryophanales; Caryophanaceae
Rfam family: PyrR binding site
About the family: This family represents the PyrR binding site and terminator structure. This RNA structure is found upstream of a variety of genes involved in pyrimidine biosynthesis and transport.
Source: Rfam
CUUACCUUUUAAGGAAUGUCCAGAGAGGCAUGGAAAGGGUUAUGGAUAGGGGUGCAGUCUACCCUUAUUUCCUUACACCUUCCUGCCCCUGGGAAGGUGUUUUUUUGU